Aotus nancymaae (Ma's night monkey) is the source of this 168-nucleotide small nuclear RNA. Its record names the gene U2. It matches the Rfam family "U2 spliceosomal RNA". Rfam says of the family: U2 is a small nuclear RNA (snRNA) component of the spliceosome (involved in pre-mRNA splicing). The record is from Ensembl. NCBI's taxonomy places the organism in Eukaryota, Metazoa, Chordata, Mammalia, Primates, Aotidae.
AUUGCUUCUUGGCCUUUUAGCUAAGAUCAAGUGUAGUAUCUGUUCUUAUCAGUUUAAAAGUUAUCAUUGGCUGGGCACGCGGUGGCUCAUGCCUGUAAUCCCAGCACUUUGGGAAGCCAAGGCAGGUGGAUCAUUUGAGGUCAGGAAUUCAAGAACGGCCUAACCAAC